Molecule: ribosomal RNA, 508 nt
Filed under: uncultured bacterium
Lineage: Bacteria
Description: partial 16S ribosomal RNA
Rfam family: Bacterial small subunit ribosomal RNA
Source: RNAcentral
AGUGAACGCUGGCGGCGUGCUUAACACAUGCAAGUCGAACGAGAACGGGCUAUAGCUUGCUAUAGUUGUCAGCUAAGUGGCGCACGGGUGAGUAAUGUCUGGGAAACUGCCUGAUGGAGGGGGAUAACUACUGGAAACGGUAGCUAAUACCGCAUAAUGUCGCAAGACCAAAGUGGGGGACCUUCGGGCCUAAUGCCAUCAGAUGUGCCCAGAUGGGAUUAGCUAGUAGGUGAGGUAACGGCUCACCUAGGCGACGAUCCCUAGCUGGUCUGAGAGGAUGACCAGCCACACUGGAACUGAGACACGGUCCAGACUCCUACGGGAGGCAGCAGUGGGGGAUAUUGCACAAUGGGCGCAAGCCUGAUGCAGCCAUGCCGCGUGUGUGAAGAAGGCCUUCGGGUUGUAAAGCACUUUCAGCGGGGAGGAAGGCGUUAAGGUUAAUAACCUUGGCGAUUGACGUUACCCGCAGAAGAAGCACCGGCUAACUCCGUGCCAGCCGCCGCUGUAA